GACGAACGCUGGCGGCGUGCUUAACACAUGCAAGUCGAACGGAAAGGCGCUGCUUUUGUUUGUUGCUCGAUUGGCGAACGGGUGUGUGUCACGUGAGUAUCAUGCCCUUGUCUUUCUGAUAACUUCAGGAAAAUGCGGCGCAUAUCGGAUAGGAGCUCCUGCUGCAUAGGGUUGGUUGGAAAGUGUCGGCGGUGGGGGCUGGACUCGCGGCUUAUCGGCUUGUUGGGGUGGUAGUUGCUUACCAAGGGUUUGACGGGUAGCCGGCCUGAGAGGGUUAACGGCGACAUGGGGACUGAGAUACGGAGCAGAAUGCUACGGGAGGCAGCAGUGGAGAGUAUUGCACAACGGGCGGGAGCCUGAUGCAGAAACGUCGCGUGCGGGAAGCCGGCCUUCGGGUUGUGAACAGAUUUCGACUGAGACGAGGCGUGAGUGACGGUAAUGGGUAAAGAAGCACCGGCUAACUACGUG
Molecule: ribosomal RNA, 468 nt
Filed under: uncultured bacterium
Lineage: Bacteria
Description: partial 16S ribosomal RNA
Rfam family: Bacterial small subunit ribosomal RNA
Source: RNAcentral